AUCUAUAGGAUUGUAUUAAAAUUGAAUAAAGCUUUGUUUAUAUAUUGAUAAUGACAGUAUAUAUAUCGUGUCUUGACUAAUUGCGUGCCAGCAGUCGCGGUAAUACGUAAGAGACUAGUGUUAUUCAUCUUAAUUAGGUUUAAAGGGUACCUAGACGGUCAAUAUAGCUUCUAGAAUGUUAGUACUUGACUAGAGUUUUAUGUAAGAGGGCAGUACUUGAGGAGGAGAGAUGAAAUUCUAUGAUACCAAAGGGACUCGGUAAAGGCGAAGGCAGCCCUCUAUGUAGAAACUGACGUUAAAGGACGAAGGCACAGAGCACAAACAGGAUUAGAUACCCAAGUAGUCUUUGCAGUAAAUGAUGAAUGCCAUAGGUUAGAUUAAGAUUUAAUAUUAUAAUUAUAAAUUAAAUAUUAAACAUGAAUUUGGUCUAUAAAUGAAAGUGUAAGCAUUUCACCUCAA
This 459-nucleotide ribosomal RNA is filed under the name Trichoderma virens. RNAcentral's name for it is "SSU rRNA". It matches the Rfam family "Bacterial small subunit ribosomal RNA", at positions 414 to 873 of the family's 1533-position model. The record is from RNAcentral. Lineage: Eukaryota; Fungi; Ascomycota; Sordariomycetes; Hypocreales; Hypocreaceae.